AUUGAACGCUGGCGGCAGGCCUAACACAUGCAAGUCGAACGGUAACAGGCAUACGCUUGCUUCUUUGCUGACGAGUGGCGGACGGGUGAGUAAUGUCUGGGCAACUGCCUGAUGGAGGGGGAUAACUACUGGAAACGGUAGCUAACACCGCAUAACGUCGCAAGACCAAAGAGGUGGACCUUCGGUCCUCUUGCCAUCGGAUGUGCCCAUAUGGGCUUAGUUAGGAGGUGGGGUAACGGCUCACCUAGGCGACGAUCCCUAGCUGGAGGGAGAGGAUGACAAGCCACACUGGAGCUGAGACAGGGUCAAGAGUCCUGCGGGAGGCAGCAGUCGGGAAUAUUGCGCAGUGGGCGCAAGCAUGAUGCAGCGAUGCCGAGUGUAUGGAGAAGGCCUUCGGUUGGUAAAGUACGUUCAGCGGGGAGGAAGGGAGUAAAGUUAAUACCAUUGCUCAUUGACGUUACCCGCAGAAGAAGCACCGGCUAACUCCGUG
RNAcentral lists this ribosomal RNA (490 nucleotides) under uncultured bacterium. Its description in RNAcentral is "partial 16S ribosomal RNA". It matches the Rfam family "Bacterial small subunit ribosomal RNA", at positions 30 to 507 of the family's 1533-position model. The record is from RNAcentral.